This 178-nucleotide ribosomal RNA is filed under the name uncultured Flavobacterium sp. RNAcentral describes it as "partial 16S ribosomal RNA". It matches the Rfam family "Bacterial small subunit ribosomal RNA", at positions 336 to 511 of the family's 1533-position model. The record is from RNAcentral. Lineage: Bacteria; Pseudomonadati; Bacteroidota; Flavobacteriia; Flavobacteriales; Flavobacteriaceae.
CUCCUACGGGAGGCAGCAGUGAGGAAUAUUGGACAAUGGGCGCAAGCCUGAUCCAGCCAUGCCGCGUGCAGGAUGACGGUCCUAUGGAUUGUAAACUGCUUUUGUACAGGAAGAAACACUCGGACGUGUCCGAGCUUGACGGUACUGUAAGAAUAAGGAUCGGCUAACUCCGUGCCAG